RNAcentral lists this ribosomal RNA (301 nucleotides) under uncultured bacterium. Its description in RNAcentral is "partial 16S ribosomal RNA". It matches the Rfam family "Bacterial small subunit ribosomal RNA", at positions 509 to 809 of the family's 1533-position model. The record is from RNAcentral.
CAGCCGCCACGGUAAUACAGAGGAUGCAAGCGUUAUCCGGAAUGAUUGGGCGUAAAGGGUGCGUAGGCGGUUUGACAAGUCUUAUGUGAAAUCUCUGGGCUCAACCCAGAGUCUGCAUGGGAAACUGUCGGGCUUGAGUAUGGGAGAGGUGAGUGGAAUUUCCGGUGUAGCGGUGAAAUGCGUAGAUAUCGGAAGGAACACCUGUGGCGAAAGCGGCUCACUGGACCAUAACUGACGCUGAUGCACGAAAGCUAGGGGAGCAAACAGGAUUAGAUACCCGGGUAGUCCCUGUCUCUUAUAA